RNAcentral lists this ribosomal RNA (429 nucleotides) under Chloroflexota bacterium. Its description in RNAcentral is "Chloroflexi bacterium partial 16S ribosomal RNA". It matches the Rfam family "Bacterial small subunit ribosomal RNA", at positions 355 to 776 of the family's 1533-position model. Lineage: Bacteria; Bacillati; Chloroflexota. The record is from RNAcentral.
UGGGGAAUAUUGCACAAUGGGCGCAAGCCUGAUGCAGCCAUGCCGCGUGUAUGAAGAAGGCCUUCGGGUUUUAAAGUACUUUCAGCGGGGAGGUAGGGAGUAAAGUUAAUACCUUUGCUCAUUGACGUUACCCGCAGAAGAAGUACCGGCUAACUCCGUGCCAGCAGCCGCGGUACUACGGAGGGUGCAAGUGUUAAUCGGAAUUACUGGGCUUAAAGCGCAUGCAGGCGGUUUGUUAAGUCAGUUGUGAAAUCCCCGGGCUCAACCUGUGAACUGCCUCUGAUACUGGCAAGCUUGAGUCUCGUAGAGGGGGGGAGAAUUCCAGGUGUGGCGGUGAAAGGCGUAGAGAUCUGGAGGAAUACCGGUGGCGAAGGCGGCACCCUGGACGAAGACUGACGCUCAGGUGCGAAAGCGUGGGGAGCAAACAGG